Molecule: non-coding RNA, 27 nt
Filed under: Rattus norvegicus (Norway rat)
Lineage: Eukaryota; Metazoa; Chordata; Mammalia; Rodentia; Muridae
Source: RNAcentral
UGAACCCCUGCUGAUGGAGAGGUCUGU